Molecule: ribosomal RNA, 253 nt
Filed under: uncultured bacterium
Lineage: Bacteria
Description: partial 16S ribosomal RNA
Rfam family: Bacterial small subunit ribosomal RNA
Source: RNAcentral
UACGGGGGGGGCAAGCGUUGUUCGGAAUUACUGGGCGUAAAGGGCUUGUAGGUGGCCAACUAAGUCAGACGUGAAAUCCCUCGGCUUAACCGGGGAACUGCGUCUGAUACUGGAUGGCUUGAGUGUGGGAGAGGGAUGCGGAAUUCCAGGUGUAGCGGUGAAAUGCGUAGAUAUCUGGAGGAACACCGGUGGCGAAGGCGGGUCUCUGGGCCGAUACUGACGCUGAGGAGCGAAAGCGUGGGGAGCGAACAGG